GAUGAAGAACGUAGCGAAAUGCGAUAAGUAAUGUGAAUUGCAGAAUUCAGUGAAUCAUCGAAUCUUUGAACGCAUCUUGCGCUCCUUGGUAUUCUGAGGAGCAUGCCUGUUUGAGUGUCAUUAAAUUCUCAACUACACUGACUUUGAAUUGGUGUGGCUUGGAUUUGGGGGGAAAAUUGUUGUGGGCUUUUUGUAUAGUCUGCUCCCCUGAAAUUGAUUAGCGGUACCUUUGUGGAACUGUCUACAGGUGUGAUAAUUAUCUACAUCUUAGACAUCUGCUGGAAUGCUGCUUUCUAAACCUUACUUGUGUUGACAAUCUUGACCUCAAAUCAGGUAGGACUACCCGCUGAACUUAAGCAUAUCAAUAAGCGAGGA
Molecule: unclassified non-coding RNA, 375 nt
Filed under: soil metagenome
Description: partial contains 5.8S ribosomal RNA, internal transcribed spacer 2, and large subunit ribosomal RNA
Rfam family: 5.8S ribosomal RNA (bases 1-120)
Source: RNAcentral